GCCGUGAUAGCUCAGUUGGGAGAGCGUUAGACUGAAGUUCAUUAGGUCCCUGGUUCGAUCCCGGGUCGUGGCA
Symsagittifera roscoffensis is the source of this 73-nucleotide non-coding RNA. The record is from the annotation of a RefSeq genome assembly. Lineage: Eukaryota; Metazoa; Xenacoelomorpha; Acoela; Convolutidae.